Molecule: non-coding RNA, 26 nt
Filed under: Mus musculus (house mouse)
Lineage: Eukaryota; Metazoa; Chordata; Mammalia; Rodentia; Muridae
Source: RNAcentral
UGGAAGAUUUUUACCUUUGAGGAUGA